RNAcentral lists this non-coding RNA (24 nucleotides) under Arabidopsis thaliana (thale cress). The record is from RNAcentral. Lineage: Eukaryota; Viridiplantae; Streptophyta; Magnoliopsida; Brassicales; Brassicaceae.
GAUGGAGACAUUAUUGAAUGCAUC